GAACCUGCGGAGGGAUCAUUACAGAGUUGCAAAACUCCCUAAACCAUUGUGAACGUUACCUAUACCGUUGCUUCGGCGGGCGGCCCCGGGGUUUACCCCCCGGGCGCCCCUGGGCCCCACCGCGGGCGCCCGCCGGAGGUCACCAAACUCUUGAUAAUUUAUGGCCUCUCUGAGUCUUCUGUACUGAAUAAGUCAAAACUUUCAACAACGGAUCUCUUGGUUCUGGCAUCGAUGAAGAACGCAGCGAAAUGCGAUAAGUAAUGUGAAUUGCAGAAUUCAGUGAAUCAUCGAAUCUUUGAACGCACAUUGCGCCCGCCAGCAUUCUGGCGGGCAUGCCUGUUCGAGCGUCAUUUCAACCAUCAAGCCCCCGGGCUUGUGUUGGGGACCUGCGGCUGCCGCAGGCCCUGAAAAGCAGUGGCGGGCUCGCUGUCGCACCGAGCGUAGUAGCAUACAUCUCGCUCUGGUCGCGCCGCGGGUUCCGGCCGUUAAACCACCUUUUAACCCAAGGUUGACCUCGGAUCAGGUAGGAAGACCCGCUGAACUUAAGCAUAUCAAUAAG
Molecule: ribosomal RNA, 559 nt
Filed under: Chaetomium globosum
Lineage: Eukaryota; Fungi; Ascomycota; Sordariomycetes; Sordariales; Chaetomiaceae
Description: eukaryotic LSU rRNA
Rfam family: 5.8S ribosomal RNA (bases 197-350)
Source: RNAcentral